UUGGAAUGGAGUGCUUGCACUUCGCUGACGAGCGGCGGACGGGUGCGUAACACGUAGGAAUCUGCCCGGUAGUGGGGGAUAGCCCGGAGAAAUUCGGAUUAAUACCGCAUACGCCCUAAGGGGGAAAGCAGGGGAUCGGUUCGCCGACCUUGCGCUAUCGGAUGAGCCUGCGUCGGAUUAGCUAGUUGGUGGGGUAAAGGCCCACCAAGGCGACGAUCCGUAGCUGGUCUGAGAGGAUGAUCAGCCACACUGGGACUGAGACACGGCCCAGACUCCUACGGGAGGCAGCAGUGGGGAAUAUUGCACAAUGGGCGAAAGCCUGAUGCAGCCAUGCCGCGUGUGUGAAGAAGGCCCUAGGGUUGUAAAGCACUUUCAGUGGGGAGGAAAGGUUGAAGGUUAAUACCCUUUAGCUGUGACGUUACCCACAGAAGAAGCACCGGCUAACUCCGUGCCAGCAGCCGCGGUAAUACGGAGGGUGCGAGCGUUAAUCGGAAUUACUGGGCGUAAAGCGUGCGUAGGCGGCUUUUUAAGUUGGAUGUGAAAGCCCCGGGCUUAACCUGGGAACUGCAUCCAAAACUGGAAGGCUUGAGUGCGAGAGAGGAGUGUGGAAUUUCCUGUGUAGCGGUGAAAUGCGUAGAUAUAGGAAGGAA
This 650-nucleotide ribosomal RNA is filed under the name uncultured bacterium. Its description in RNAcentral is "bacterial SSU rRNA". It matches the Rfam family "Bacterial small subunit ribosomal RNA", at positions 67 to 706 of the family's 1533-position model. The record is from RNAcentral.